GACGAAGGAUGCAAGCGUUAUCCGGAUUCAUUGGGUUUAAAGGGAGCGUAGGCGGACUUGUAAGUCAGUGGUGAAAUCUGUGGGCUUAACCCACAAACUGCCAUUGAUACUGCAGGUCUAGAGUACAGUUGCCGUUGGCGGAAUAUGACAUGUAGUGGUGAAAUACUUAGAUAUGUCAUAGAACACCGAUUGCGAAGGCAGCUAACGAAGCCGUAACUGACGCUGAGGCUCGAAAGUGCGGGGAUCAAACAGG
This 253-nucleotide ribosomal RNA is filed under the name uncultured bacterium. Its description in RNAcentral is "partial 16S ribosomal RNA". It matches the Rfam family "Bacterial small subunit ribosomal RNA", at positions 524 to 776 of the family's 1533-position model. The record is from RNAcentral.